Molecule: transfer RNA, 74 nt
Filed under: Desulfosarcina sp.
Lineage: Bacteria; Pseudomonadati; Thermodesulfobacteriota; Desulfobacteria; Desulfobacterales; Desulfosarcinaceae
Description: tRNA-Met
Rfam family: tRNA
About the family: Transfer RNA (tRNA) molecules are approximately 80 nucleotides in length.
Source: RNAcentral
UGCGGGGUAGAGUAACGGCCACUCGAGAGUCUCAUAAGCUCACCAACCGGGUUCGAUUCCCGGCCCCGCAACCA